GAGAGCCAUCUUAUCCAAUGAAAAGAUCCCUCAAUAAUACUUUUCUAUUCAACUGCUUGCAUAAAGUCUUAGGGAUAUAGAUAAAAUGAAUAUGACUUAGAAAAUUUAUCAAUUCAGUUGCACAUGCAUAUUUAAAUCCACAUGCUCUUUAAAUAAUACACUAAUGUAGAAAUAUUGCCUUUUCCAGACUUACAUAUCAUUAAUAAUUUUAUUCAUCAGUGUGUUUGUUAUCUCUGGAGACAAUUUUUGAGUCAUUCAAUUCAUUUUUUUCUAGGACACAUCAUUUUCAUUUCCAUCUCCAGUGUGUGAGAUACAGCAGACUGUCACUAGAAAUUUUAUCCCAAGUCAUGAAUGAAUACACAUUAAUAUAACAUUAGGACAGUUUUAUUUAUUCAAGUGAUCUGUGUGUGUUUAUGAGCUCCACAAUAUAACCAAUUUACCUUAUUGUCUUUUAAAGGAAUACUCAGAGGGUUUGUUUACUAAGGCAUCCGAUAUUUGCAUUCAUGAGUGCAUAUUCCUAGAAAUAAUUGCUAAAUCUGUGUUCAUUUCAUGUGUCUCCUCUAUUUGCUGCUUCUGUCAGGAAACCUCGAUAAACACCCCAAACCAGCACAAACUGAAGUCAUUGUAGACCAAUGUAUCUUCCCUCAACAACACCAUGUUUUCCAAGUCAAGGUAAUUGAGACAGCAUCACCAAAUUUGAGACACGUGGUAAGGAUUCCAGUAUCUACAAAUCAAUCAGUUUUAGGGAUGAUUUUGGUAAAAUCCUUUGGAACUAAGUCCUGAUUCACAUGGAAUAAUUAACCUCAUUUUACAGACGAUGAACUGAGGUUCAGAAGUUGAUGUAACUCUCCUCAAAUGCAAGAGCUUGAGACUGAAAAAUAUAAGUGGUGACUGGAGGCCAGGACUCUUCUAGUCCAAGGCUCAAGUGCUGAACCACAAGAUGCACUGAUCACACUGGGAGAUGUGGGUUAUGUCCACUGCUGACAAUUCCCUUUCCAGAAUAUCC
Molecule: long non-coding RNA, 1006 nt
Filed under: Marmota monax (woodchuck)
Lineage: Eukaryota; Metazoa; Chordata; Mammalia; Rodentia; Sciuridae
Source: RNAcentral